AGUGGACGCUGGCGGUAGGCCUAACACAUGCAAGUCGAACGGCAGCACAGUAAGAGCUUGCUCUUACGGGUGGCGAGUGGCGGACGGGUGAGGAAUACAUCGGAAUCUACUUUUUCGUGGGGGAUAACGCAGGGAAACUUACGCUAAUACCGCAUACGACCUACGGGUGAAAGCAGGGGAUCUUCGGACCUUGCGCGAUUGAAUGAGCCGAUGUCGGAUUAGCUAGUUGGCUGGGUAAAGGCCCACCAAGGCGACGAUCCGUAGCUGGUCUGAGAGGAUGAUCAGCCACACUGGAACUGAGACACGGUCCAGACUCCUACGGGAGGCAGCAGUGGGGAAUAUUGGACAAUGGGCGCAAGCCUGAUCCAGCCAUACCGCGUGGGUGAAGAAGGCCUUCGGGUUGUAAAGCCCUUUUGUUGGGAAAGAAAAGCAGCAGGUUAAUACCCCGCUGUUCUGACGGUACCCAAAGAAUAAGCACCGGCUAACUUCGUG
Molecule: ribosomal RNA, 492 nt
Filed under: uncultured bacterium
Lineage: Bacteria
Description: partial 16S ribosomal RNA
Rfam family: Bacterial small subunit ribosomal RNA
Source: RNAcentral